This 1154-nucleotide ribosomal RNA is filed under the name wastewater metagenome. RNAcentral's name for it is "bacterial LSU rRNA". It matches the Rfam family "Bacterial large subunit ribosomal RNA", at positions 1669 to 2818 of the family's 2925-position model. The record is from RNAcentral.
GGUAGAGAAUACCAAGGCGCUUGAGAGAACUCGGGUGAAGGAACUAGGCAAAAUGGCACCGUAACUUCGGGAGAAGGUGCGCCGGUGAGGGUGAAGUAUUUACUACGUAAGCCCAUGCCGGUCGAAGAUACCAGGCCGCUGCGACUGUUUAUUAAAAACACAGCACUCUGCAAACACGAAAGUGGACGUAUAGGGUGUGACGCCUGCCCGGUGCCGGAAGGUUAAGUGAUGGGGUGCAAGCUCUUGAUCGAAGCCCCGGUAAACGGCGGCCGUAACUAUAACGGUCCUAAGGUAGCGAAAUUCCUUGUCGGGUAAGUUCCGACCUGCACGAAUGGCGUAACGAUGGCGGCGCUGUCUCCACCCGAGACUCAGUGAAAUUGAAAUCGCUGUGAAGAUGCAGUGUAUCCGCGGCUAGACGGAAAGACCCCGUGAACCUUUACUAUAGCUUUGCACUGGACUUUGAAUUUGCUUGUGUAGGAUAGGUGGGAGGCUUUGAAGCGUGGACGCUAGUCUGCGUGGAGCCAAUCUUGAAAUACCACCCUGGCAACUUUGAGGUUCUAACUCUGGUCCGUUAUCCGGAUCGAGGACAGUGUAUGGUGGGUAGUUUGACUGGGGCGGUCUCCUCCUAAAGAGUAACGGAGGAGUACGAAGGUGCGCUCAGCGUGGUCGGAAAUCACGCGUAGAGUAUAAAGGCAAAAGCGCGCUUAACUGCGAGACCGACAAGUCGAGCAGGUACGAAAGUAGGUCUUAGUGAUCCGGUGGUUCUGUAUGGAAGGGCCAUCGCUCAACGGAUAAAAGGUACUCCGGGGAUAACAGGCUGAUACCGCCCAAGAGUUCAUAUCGACGGCGGUGUUUGGCACCUCGAUGUCGGCUCAUCACAUCCUGGGGCUGAAGCCGGUCCCAAGGGUAUGGCUGUUCGCCAUUUAAAGUGGUACGCGAGCUGGGUUUAGAACGUCGUGAGACAGUUCGGUCCCUAUCUGCCGUGGACGUUUGAGAUUUGAGAGGGGCUGCUCCUAGUACGAGAGGACCGGAGUGGACGAACCUCUGGUGUUCCGGUUGUCACGCCAGUGGCAUUGCCGGGUAGCUAUGUUCGGAAAAGAUAACCGCUGAAAGCAUCUAAGCGGGAAACUAGCCUCAAGAUGAGAUCUCACUGG